ACCACUGGCAUUAGAAUAUCAGAGAAAGAAGGUGAAGUAGAGGAGUGAUGUUCAGUUGAGGAAAAUGCACUGUUUCUUCACAUUGGCUUAACCCCUAUCAAGAUUGAUUAAGCUGUGUUUUAAGGUACCCUCUGUUUCUUUGAGGAGAAGAAAUGGAGGCAGGUGGUGGAAUGGUAGCUGGAUCUCACAAGCGUAAUGAGUUGGUUAGGAUUCGACAUGAUUCUGAUAGUGGGCCGAAACCCUUGAAGCCUCUCAAUAGCCAAAUAUGCCAAAUUUGUGGUGAUACUGUUGGUUCGACUGCUAGUGGUGAUGUAUUCAUUGCUUGUAAUGAGUGUGCCUUUCCUGUUUGCCGGGCUUGUUAUGAGUACGAGCGUAAAGAUGGAAAUCAAUCAUGUCCUCAAUGCAAGACCAGAUACAAGAGGUUCAAGGGGAGUCCACGAGUGGAUGGAGAUGAUGACGAGGAAGAUGUUGAUGAUAUCGACAAUGAGUUCAAUUAUGCUCAAGGAAACAGCAAGGCCAGACAGCAAUGGCAGGGUGAUGAUGCUGGUCUCUCUUCAUCCUCUAGACACGAAUCUCAGCAACCGAUUCCUCUUCUUACAGAUGGCCAGCCAGUGUCUGGUGAUUUUCCUAGUGCAACAACUGAUACACAAUCUGUAAGAAGUAUGUCAGGACCCUUAGGCCCUGGAGACAAGCAUUCAUCCCUGUCUUAUGUUGAUCCAAGACAGCCUGUUCCUGUAAGAAUUGUGGACCCCUCAAAGGACUUGAAUUCUUAUGGGCUUGGAAGUGUUGACUGGAAGGAGAGAGUAGAGGGUUGGAAACUGAAACAGGAGAAAAAUCUGGUGCAUUCGACAAACAGAUAUUCUGAAGGGAAAGGCGGGGACAUUGAAGGGACAGGGUCGAAUGGAGAAGAGCUACAAAUGGCUGACGAUGCUCGCCAGCCUAUGAGCCGUGUGGUGCCUAUUCCUUCAUCCCACCUUACCCCAUAUCGGGUUGUUAUCAUUUUGCGGUUGAUCAUCUUGGGAUUUUUCAUGCAAUACCGUCUAACUCAUCCAGUGAAUGAUGCAUAUCCUCUGUGGCUAGUAUCAGUUAUUUGUGAGGUUUGGUUUGCCUUGUCCUGGCUCCUCGAUCAGUUUCCAAAAUGGUCACCAGUCAAUCGUGAGACAUUCCUUGACAGGCUAGCUUUGAGACAUGAUAGAGAAGGGGAGCCUUCGCAGCUUGCACCUGUUGACAUCUUUGUCAGUACAGUGGAUCCUUUGAAAGAACCUCCUCUCAUUACUGCAAACACAGUGUUGUCCAUCCUUGCUGUUGAUUAUC
This 1314-nucleotide unclassified non-coding RNA is filed under the name Hevea brasiliensis (rubber tree). Lineage: Eukaryota; Viridiplantae; Streptophyta; Magnoliopsida; Malpighiales; Euphorbiaceae. The record is from RNAcentral.